UACGUAGGGUGCGAGCGUUGUCCGGAAUUAUUGGGCGUAAAGAGCUUGUAGGCGGUUUGUCGCGUCUGCUGUGAAAAUCCGGGGCCCAACUCCGGACUUGCAGUGGGUACGGGCAGGCUAGAGUGUGGUAGGGGAGACUGGAAUUCCUGGUGUAGCGGUGGAAUGCGCAGAUACCAGGAGGAACACCGGUGGCGAAGGCGGUGGGCUGGGCCGGUACUGACGCUGAGGAGCGAAAGCGUGGGGAGCAAACAGG
RNAcentral lists this ribosomal RNA (253 nucleotides) under uncultured bacterium. RNAcentral's name for it is "partial 16S ribosomal RNA". It matches the Rfam family "Bacterial small subunit ribosomal RNA", at positions 524 to 776 of the family's 1533-position model. The record is from RNAcentral.